RNAcentral lists this ribosomal RNA (850 nucleotides) under Hypotrachyna sinuosa. Its description in RNAcentral is "eukaryotic LSU rRNA". It matches the Rfam family "Eukaryotic large subunit ribosomal RNA", at positions 71 to 936 of the family's 3401-position model. Lineage: Eukaryota; Fungi; Ascomycota; Lecanoromycetes; Lecanorales; Parmeliaceae. The record is from RNAcentral.
GGGAUUGCCUCAGUAACGGCGAGUGAAGCGGCAACAGCUCAAAUUUGAAAUCUGGCUCCUUCGGGGUCCGAGUUGUAAUUUGUAGAGAGUGUUUCGGGUGAGAUCACGGUCUAAGUCUGUUGGAACACUACGUCAUAGAGGGUGAGAACCCCGUAUGCGACCGUGACUCGAGCCCAUGUGAAGCCUCUUCGACGAGUCGAGUUGUUUGGGAAUGCAGCUCAAAAUGGGUGGUAAAUUUCAUCUAAAGCUAAAUACUGGCUGGAGACCGAUAGCGCACAAGUAGAGUGAUCGAAAGAUGAAAAGCACUUUGGAAAGAGAGUCAAACAGUACGUGAAAUUGUUGAAAGGGAAGCGCUGGCAACCAGACCUGUCCGUGGGCGAUCAGCCGCUGUUCUCAGCGGUGCACUCGUUCCACGAUCAGGCCAGCAUCGGUUUCGGCGGUUGGAUAAAGACCUUGGGAACGUAGCUCCCUCUCGGGGGAGUGUUAUAGCCCAGGGUGCAAUGCAGCCAGUCGGGACCGAGGACCGCGCUUCGGCUAGGAUGCUGGCGUAAUGGUUGUCAGCGACCCGUCUUGAAACACGGACCAAGGAGUCUAACAUCUAUGCGAGUGUUUGGGUGUCAAACCCAUGCGCGGAAUGAAAGUGAACGGAGGUGAGAACCCUUUAGGGCGCAUCAUCGACCGAUCCAGAUGUCUUCGGAUGGAUUUGAGUAUGAGCAUAGCUGUUGGGACCCGAAAGAUGGUGAACUAUGCCUGAAUAGGGUGAAGCCAGAGGAAACUCUGGUGGAGGCUCGCAGCGGUUCUGACGUGCAAAUCGAUCGUCAAAUUUGGGUAUAGGGGCGAAAGACUAAUC